AGAGAUGCUCUGGAGAUCCUGACUCUGGGCUCUGGUUGAUUCACAGAGUCUGCACCCUUAUUUAGAUAACCAAGUUAAGAGGAAGACUUAAGAAUUCUUCGCUGCAGCUGCCUUACCGCCGAGAACCACCACCCGCCGGGCGUCUUGCGGCCACACCCCUGGCGGGCUCAGACAGGCUACGCCCACGCGACCCCUCCCGUUUCCCUGCUCUGGCCAAUGGAGGAGCUACGAAUGGCACGACCUGCUCGAGCUUGGCAGUCUCCAGUUGCGCUGUGUAUGGAAGCCUGGGAAGACUUUGUUGGAAGGGGAGGCGGGGAGAGAGUGCUGGAGGCUCUCGGGCGAUGGCUUCCGCACCCCUUCCAACCACCCUCUUUCCCUGGAGUCGGCGGACCACAGCUCAGCCAAUUGGCUUGGAGAUGUGGCGGGUUGCCACUUCCCUGUGGGUCUGUGCGGCACUCUUCUGUCUGGUGACUGACACCUUGGAAAUGAAGUUUAUGACGUCAUCGUUGCGGCUGGCCAAUAGAAAAAGCUCCCGCGGAGAGGUGUU
This 547-nucleotide small RNA is filed under the name Pongo abelii (Sumatran orangutan). RNAcentral describes it as "processed transcript". Lineage: Eukaryota; Metazoa; Chordata; Mammalia; Primates; Hominidae. The record is from RNAcentral.